AAAUGCGAUAAGUAAUGUGAAUUGCAGAAUUCAGUGAAUCAUCGAAUCUUUGAACGCACCUUGCGCUCCUUGGUAUUCCUUGGAGCAUGCCUGUUUGAGUAUCAUGAAAUCUUCAAAGUAAAUCUUUUGUUAACUCAAUUGGUUUCUACUUGGUAUUGGAGGUCUUUUCAGCUUCACACCUGCUCCUCUUUGUUCAUUAGCUGGAUCUCAGUGUUAUGCUUGGUUCCACUCGGCGUGAUAAGUUAUCUAUCGCUGAGGACACUGUAAAAGGUGGCCAAGGUAAAUGCAGAUGAACCGCUUCUAAUAGUCCAUUGACUUGGACAAUACUUUUAUGAUCUGAUCUCAAAUCAGGUAGGACUACCCGCUGAACUUAAGC
This 376-nucleotide unclassified non-coding RNA is filed under the name plant metagenome. RNAcentral describes it as "partial contains 5.8S ribosomal RNA, internal transcribed spacer 2, and large subunit ribosomal RNA". The stretch from base 1 to 104 matches the Rfam family "5.8S ribosomal RNA", at positions 51 to 154 of the family's 154-position model. The record is from RNAcentral.